Molecule: ribosomal RNA, 255 nt
Filed under: Eubacterium ruminantium
Lineage: Bacteria; Bacillati; Bacillota; Clostridia; Eubacteriales; Eubacteriaceae
Description: partial 16S ribosomal RNA
Rfam family: Bacterial small subunit ribosomal RNA (bases 46-255)
Source: RNAcentral
CCUCCUUCUUUUUCCCUCUUUCUCCUUCUUUCCUUUUUUUCCCUUUUUCUUCUUUUGUCUGGCCCGUCAGCAGUGAAAGGCUGGGGCUCAACCCCGGGACUGCUUUUGAAACUGUCAAACUAGAGUACAGGAGAGGAAAGCGGAAUUCCUAGUGUAGCGGUGAAAUGCGUAGAUAUUAGGAGGAACACCAGUGGCGAAGGCGGCUUUCUGGACUGAAACUGACACUGAGGCACGAAAGCGUGGGGAGCAAACAGG